This 22-nucleotide non-coding RNA is filed under the name Arabidopsis thaliana (thale cress). The record is from RNAcentral. Lineage: Eukaryota; Viridiplantae; Streptophyta; Magnoliopsida; Brassicales; Brassicaceae.
AAGGUUUUGCGUUUAGGGUUUA